AUACGCUGGCGGCGUUCCUAACCAUGCCNGUCGAACGAGGAACCCCGAGCUUGCUCGGGGGAGUAAAGUGGCGCACGGGUGAGUAAUGCGUGGGUAAUCUACUUCUAAGUUCGGGAUAACCUGCCGAAAGGCGGACUAAUACCGGAUGAUAUCCAGAGUACUGCGGUGCAUCGGAUUAAAGAUGGCCUCUACAUGUAAGCUAUUGCUUGGGAAUGAGCCUACGUACCAUUAGCUUGUUGGUAGGGUAAAGGCCUACCAAGGUGACGAUGGUUAGCUGGUCUGAGAGGACGAUCAGCCACACUGGAACUGAGACACGGUCCAGACUCCUACGGGAGGCAGCAGUGAGGAAUCUUGCGCAAUGGGGGCAACCCUGACGCANCAACGCCGCGUGAGUGAANAAGGCCUUUGGGUCGUAAAGCUCUGUCAAGUGGGAAAACCUGUCCGUGAUAAUCCCNAGCCUGACGGUCCCUGAAGGAANCCCGCUACUCGUCCACACCGNGUAAUCCGAGGUNANCUUUUCGAAUCUGGCCUAAAGCCCUANCCGCUCUUAUCAGCUNAACCCAGUAACU
Molecule: ribosomal RNA, 569 nt
Filed under: uncultured bacterium
Lineage: Bacteria
Description: bacterial SSU rRNA
Rfam family: Bacterial small subunit ribosomal RNA (bases 5-515)
Source: RNAcentral